AAUGAACGUUGGCGGCGUGGAUUAGGCAUGCAAGUCGAGCGGAAAGGCCCGCAAGGGCACUCGAGCGGCGUAAGGGACAGUAAUGUGUAGGUAACGUACCCCUGGGUCUAGGAUAGCUGCGGGGAACUGCAAUUAAUACUAGAUAACGUCUCCGGACCAAAGGUGUGAUUCCACCUGGGGAGCGGCCUACAUCCUAUUAGCUAGUUGGCGAGGUAAUGGCUCACCAAGGCGAAGAUGGGUAGCAGGUGUGAGAGCACGACCUGCGUCACUGGGACUGAGACACUGCCCAGACACCUACGGGUGGCUGCAGUCGAGAAUCUUCGGCAAUGGGCGAAAGCCUGACCGAGCGACGCCGCGUGUGGGAUGAAGGCCU
This 373-nucleotide ribosomal RNA is filed under the name uncultured bacterium. RNAcentral describes it as "bacterial SSU rRNA". It matches the Rfam family "Bacterial small subunit ribosomal RNA", at positions 29 to 417 of the family's 1533-position model. The record is from RNAcentral.